Molecule: ribosomal RNA, 507 nt
Filed under: Tulasnella sp.
Lineage: Eukaryota; Fungi; Basidiomycota; Agaricomycetes; Cantharellales; Tulasnellaceae
Description: partial large subunit ribosomal RNA
Rfam family: Eukaryotic large subunit ribosomal RNA
Source: RNAcentral
CAAUGUGUGAAUCUGGCGGAGGUAGUGCUUCGUGUCUGAGUUGUGCACUAUGGACGCUUUGUCGGCAGGGCUUGGGGCGGAAGUGCCAAUGAAACAUGGCAUCAGAGAGGGUCAUAGUCCCGUGCUCGCUCAAUCCAAGCCYGUGUGCAGCGAAARGYGCUCCGCGAGUCGCAUAGUUUGGUAAUGCUAUGCCAAGUGGGAGGUAGAGCCCUUCUAAAGCUAAAUAUGAUGAUGUGACCGAUAGUUCACAAGUACCGCGAGGGAAAGGUGAAAAGUAACCAUGUAGAAUGGGUUGAAAGAGAAGUGAAAGUGCUACCGGGAUAAGGGCAUGUGACAGCUGGUGUCUGUAGGGCGUGCUUCAGUGCUGUCCUUCUAGAACGGUGUGCGGAUGUGUCCGAUGGGGAGACAAGGCYGUCUGGGAAUGUGGCUCAACCUUCGGGAUGCGUGCAAAAGAACCCCAUGACACAUGUGAACUGUGCAUCUUGCUGUGGCAUGCCUCCCGUCUUG